GGCUGUGGUGUCUUCAAGGAUGGAUCGUAUCUUUCCAUAUUUUUUUUGUGCAAGACACCCAAGGCACUUCCUAGAGACAUGAAGAGAACUCCCAAGGACAGCGGCUAAGUGGGGUGCAGUCAUUAUGCAGCAGACUCACAAGCUUCAGCAUUUGCCAGCAUACAUGGGCACAUUACUGGAUUGAUGUCUCACAGGGGAGCUGUGUAUUGGCAGGAACAACAGACUACAAGCGAUCUAGUUGAUGGCUGAAGUCCAACUCAGAUGUUAAUUACAGAGAAUACUUCAAAAGCAAAGGCACUUCUCAGAAUAACUUCGGAAGAAGGAUGUAACACUCACUUUUCAAUUACAAGCUGAAUUUGCUUUAACAUUUUUGACCGCAUCUCUAUUUUUGGCUACUUGUACCUUUGCUGUUCUGUAUACUUAGUGAGGCAAGGAGUAUUUGUAGAAAGAUAAAAUUAAAGCAUAUGCACUGACAUGAGAUACUUCCAUAAUGUAUGAGAA
This is a long non-coding RNA of Falco peregrinus (peregrine falcon), 501 nucleotides long. RefSeq lists it as uncharacterized. The transcript has 3 exons. The record is from RefSeq and is a predicted model, not a curated record. Lineage: Eukaryota; Metazoa; Chordata; Aves; Falconiformes; Falconidae.